This 860-nucleotide ribosomal RNA is filed under the name uncultured bacterium. Its description in RNAcentral is "bacterial SSU rRNA". It matches the Rfam family "Bacterial small subunit ribosomal RNA", at positions 91 to 983 of the family's 1533-position model. The record is from RNAcentral.
UACAGUGGCGUACGGGUGAGUAACACGUGGGUAAUCUACCUCUUAGUGAGGAAUAACCCUGGGAAACCGGGGCUAAUACCGCAUAAGCCUGAGAAGGGAAAGCAGAAAUGCGCUGAGAGAGGAGCCCGCGGCCGAUUAGCUAGUUGGUAGGGUAAGAGCCUACCAAGGCAGAGAUCGGUAGCCGGCCUGAGAGGGCACACGGCCACACUGGCACUGAAACACGGGCCAGACUCCUACGGGAGGCAGCAGUGGGGAAUCUUGCACAAUGGGGGAAACCCUGAUGCAGCGACGCCGCGUGAGCGAUGAAGCCCUUCGGGGUGUAAAGCUCUUUCGGCAGGGAAGAUAGUGACGGUACCUGCAGAAGCAGCUGCGGCUAACUACGUGCCAGCAGCCGCGGUAAUACGUAGGCAGCAAGCGUUGUUCGGAGUUACUGGGCGUAAAGGGUGUGUAGGCGGUUCUUUAAGUUUGGUGUGAAAUCUCCCGGCUUAACCGGGAGGGUGCGCCGAAUACUGAGGGACUAGAGUACGGGAGAGGAAAGUGGAAUUCCUGGUGUAGCGGUGAAAUGCGUAGAUAUCAGGAGGAACACCGGUGGUGUAGACGGCUUUCUGGACCGUAACUGACGCUGAGACACGAAAGCGUGGGUAGCAAACAGGAUUAGAUACCCUGGUAGUCCACGCCCUAAACGAUGCAUAUUUGGUGUGGGCAGUUCAUUCUGUCCGUGCCGGAGCUAACGCGUUAAAUAUGCCGCCUGGGGGAGUACAGUCGCAAGGCUGAAACUCAAAGGAAUUGACGGGGGCCCGCACAAGCGGUGGAGCAUGUGGUUCAAUUCGACGCAACGCGAAGAACCUUACCUGGGCUCG